UACGAAAGGACCAAGCGUUACUCGGAAUCACUGGGCGUAAAGCGCGCGUAGGCGGCCUUGUAUGUCGAUUGUGAAAGCCCCGGGCUCAACCUGGGAACUGCAGUCGAAACUGCAAGGCUUGAAUGUUGGAGAGGUUGGGGGAAUACCUAGUGGAGAAGUGAAAUUCGUAGAGAUUAGGUGGAACACCAGAGGCGAAGGCGCCUGACUGGCCAAACAUUGACGCUGAGGCGCGAAAGCGUGGGUAGCAAACAGG
Molecule: ribosomal RNA, 253 nt
Filed under: uncultured bacterium
Lineage: Bacteria
Description: partial 16S ribosomal RNA
Rfam family: Bacterial small subunit ribosomal RNA
Source: RNAcentral